GUCUCUGUAGCUCAGCCGGAUAGAGCGACCGCCUCCUAAGCGGUAGGCCGGAGGUUCGAAUCCUCUCAGGGACGCCA
RNAcentral lists this transfer RNA (77 nucleotides) under Bacillota bacterium. Its description in RNAcentral is "Firmicutes bacterium (gut metagenome) tRNA-Arg". It matches the Rfam family "tRNA". Rfam says of the family: Transfer RNA (tRNA) molecules are approximately 80 nucleotides in length. Their secondary structure includes four short double-helical elements and three loops (D, anti-codon, and T loops). Lineage: Bacteria; Bacillati; Bacillota. The record is from RNAcentral.